CGCGCAGGUGGGUUAGCAAGUCAGAGGUGAAAUCCUACAGCUUAACUGUAGAACUGCCUUUGAUACUGCUGAUCUUGAGUACGGAAGAGAGAGAUGGAAUUCCAGGUGUAGUGGUGAAAUACGUAGAUAUCUGGAAGAACACCAGUGGCGAAGGCGAUCUCUUGGUCCUUUACUGACACUAAGGCGCGAAAGCGUGGGGAGCAAACA
This 207-nucleotide ribosomal RNA is filed under the name uncultured bacterium. RNAcentral's name for it is "partial 16S ribosomal RNA". It matches the Rfam family "Bacterial small subunit ribosomal RNA", at positions 568 to 774 of the family's 1533-position model. The record is from RNAcentral.